UACGUAGGGUGCGAGCGUUGUCCGGAAUUAUUGGGCGUAAAGAGCUCGUAGGCGGUGUGUCGCGUCGGCCGUGAAAACCUGCAGCUUAACUGUGGGCGUGCGGUCGAUACGGGCAUCACUGGAGUUCGGCAGGGGAGACUGGAAUUCCUGGUGUAGCGGUGAAAUGCGCAGAUAUCAGGGAGGAACACCGGUGGCGAAGGCGGGUCUCUGGGCCGAUACUGACGCUGAGGAGCGAAAGCGUGGGAGGCGAACAGG
This 255-nucleotide ribosomal RNA is filed under the name uncultured bacterium. RNAcentral's name for it is "partial 16S ribosomal RNA". It matches the Rfam family "Bacterial small subunit ribosomal RNA", at positions 524 to 776 of the family's 1533-position model. The record is from RNAcentral.